RNAcentral lists this unclassified non-coding RNA (673 nucleotides) under Hevea brasiliensis (rubber tree). The record is from RNAcentral. Lineage: Eukaryota; Viridiplantae; Streptophyta; Magnoliopsida; Malpighiales; Euphorbiaceae.
CAUUUACAAUAGAACGAACUCUUGAUGCAUACGUCAAGGAAUUGUGAGUCUCAUCCAAGUUUGAUUCUGCUGGAGAGAUGUUUACAAACAUCAGGGUUUUAGCAUUUCCACCUAACGAGUCGCUCAUCAACAUGGUUAGCUUGUGAUUUCGAUAAGGAAUGUGUUGAUUUCCUGAAGAUAAUGCACUUAUAACAUCACCAAGUGCUGACAGGGACUUGUUAAUGCUUUGAGCUUCUUUUAAUUGAUUGCCAGCUGAGCCAGACUUUUUAACUCUUUCUGAGCCAGCAAGAUCCACAAAACUCAGCUUCCCUCUGGCAAUCGCCUGAGUUUGAAGAUUGGUACUCUCGAUAAUAACUGAAACAAUAAGAUGAGAUCUUGAACUCUGCUCAUUCAUCAAGGUUCCAGUCGUAUGACGCUGUUCAGAUCCUCUUUGGAUUAUUGUCUUAAGCUCCUCGUACGUUGAAAUAGACACCACUGUCACAUUCUCCACAGAAACCAUGCCCUUUGCGUCCUUUUUUAUAUCCAAUUUCAAGCGCUUUGCUUGCUUUGGCAAUAAAAGAUCCACCAACGUAUCCUGAUACAACUCUACCAUGUACGCCUUUAAAGAGAAAGAGAACUUAUUACUGUCUUUUUUCAUAAUUCGAAAGAGUUCGGACAUAGCUCUUGGUGUCAG